UCUUAUGUACAUGCCUACAACAUAGCAUUAAUGCAACAUAUCCCAUUAGAACUUUGUAGUUAACCACUCUCGGGAUAGAGUAGUAUUGGGAUGGGUGACUGCUCGAGAAGUCUUAGUAUUUUAUAUGCC
Picea glauca (white spruce) is the source of this 129-nucleotide non-coding RNA. The record is from Rfam. Lineage: Eukaryota; Viridiplantae; Streptophyta; Pinopsida; Pinales; Pinaceae.